GAAGAGCUGCAGUUUUUGCUCCCUAGUGAAUGGGCCCAGCUUUCAGGAUUAAUAGCAAGGAAGCAUUCAGUGAGAAUUGGGAAGAAUCUGGAACAGUGGAAGAUGAUGAAACUGAGGCCCAAGGAGCUUAAGAGAUUUGCCUG
Molecule: long non-coding RNA, 143 nt
Organism: Vombatus ursinus (common wombat)
Lineage: Eukaryota; Metazoa; Chordata; Mammalia; Diprotodontia; Vombatidae
Exons: 3
Source: RefSeq, a predicted model, not a curated record